This 729-nucleotide ribosomal RNA is filed under the name Triticum aestivum (bread wheat). Its description in RNAcentral is "partial small subunit ribosomal RNA". Lineage: Eukaryota; Viridiplantae; Streptophyta; Magnoliopsida; Poales; Poaceae. The record is from RNAcentral.
AUGUGGAAUGACGAUCUUAAGGUUUCUGUUCGUAGUUCUUCCUUCCACUUUAUCUUAGCGGAUGUAGUUCAUCUAGCCUCGGGGGUUCACUUUUGUUUGGUUUGUAUAUAUGGUGACCCCUACCAUAGGCAGACUAGUGACAUUUGGAAUCAGAUCUCCACUUUUGUGUAUGAUAACUUUGGCAAACCCAUGAUCUGUAUGGGUGAUCUUAACGAUAUUUUGUAUGAUACGGAUGGUUGCAAUGGUACUGUUAAUUAUUAUCGUUUGUCUGCUUUUCGUGCUAUGAUUAAAAAUUGUGGCUUCUUUGACAUUGGUUUUAGUGGUCCUGCUUACACUUGGCGUAAUAGGCAGCACACGAUUAGGCCUAUUUACAGACGUUUAGAUCGUUGUCUUGUUAAUGCAGAUUGGUGUGCUCUGUAUCCCAACUCUAAGGUGCUUAACUUGCCUAUCAUACUUAGUGACCAUGCUCCCAUUCUCAUUUCCACGGAUGGUAGUUUUGUUAAACCUAGGCAAUCCUUCAAAUUUGAGAAUUGGUGGUUAAUGGAGAAAGAUUUUAAUAGUUUUGCUAAAUCUUCCUGGAACAAUGUUAGAUCUACCUCUUUUGUUGCAAAAACCACUUCUUUGGCAGGAUCUUUGAAAAAAUGGUGUAGGAAGAAGAAACCCUUUCAACUAGAACUGCAGGAGUUGGAGUCCCGUAUUAAUCAAAUUCAAAUGCUUCCUUGGAACUAG